Paramisgurnus dabryanus is the source of this 454-nucleotide non-coding RNA. Lineage: Eukaryota; Metazoa; Chordata; Actinopteri; Cypriniformes; Cobitidae. The record is from RefSeq and is a predicted model, not a curated record.
UCUCUAUAAACGAUGGUGUCUGUACUGCCUUACCACUUCAAACUCGAUCCAGAGAGUUCAGACGGCCGUUACGAUAUAAACGAUCUCCGUCAAUGAACGCGAUUGGAUUUACCUUUUUUAGGUGUCCUUAGCUCUGCCAGAAUGCUAAACGAAGACGAAAAUGUGUUGCAAAGACAUCCAAAAGGUUUUAAGGAGAAUGCAACAGGUUCCAGGGCCUCUUACCUGCGUGAUUCAUCAUCCAGGUUUUGCACAAAUUGUCUAAAUCCCUACACACAGAACAUUUAUUGUACCGACUAUAAGCCUUUGAGGUGCAGGACUAGAAUAUGCUUGGAGCUUCCUGAUCAGAUCGGUCACAAUUUUGGCUUUCGACGACCCCUGCACUGAAGAUGGCAUGCAAUCACGUCCUCCUUUGAAGGUCUCUCAAACUGUGAUGCCAGGUCCAUUGGAAUCGGGG